Molecule: ribosomal RNA, 467 nt
Filed under: uncultured bacterium
Lineage: Bacteria
Description: partial 16S ribosomal RNA
Rfam family: Bacterial small subunit ribosomal RNA
Source: RNAcentral
ACGCACGCUGGCGGCGUGCUUAACCCCUGCCAGUCGCACGGAAAGGCCCUGCUUUUGUGGGGUGCUCGAGUGGCGAACGGGUGAGUAACACGUGAGUAACCUGCCCUUGACUUUGGGAUAACUUCAGGAAACUGGGGCUAAUACCGGAUAGGAGCUCCUGCUGCAUGGUGGGGGUUGGAAAGUUUCGGCGGUUGGGGAUGGACUCGCGGCUUAUCAGCUUGUUGGUGGGGUAGUGGCUUACCAAGGCUUUGACGGGUAGCCGGCCUGAGAGGGUGACCGGCCACAUUGGGACUGAGAUACGGCCCAGACUCCUACGGGAGGCAGCAGUGGGGAAUAUUGCACAAUGGGCGGAAGCCUGAUGCAGCAACGCCGCGUGCGGGAUGACGGCCUUCGGGUUGUAAACCGCUUUCGCCUGUGACGAAGCGUGAGUGACGGUAAUGGGUAAAGAAGCACCGGCUAACUACGUG